RNAcentral lists this small nuclear RNA (115 nucleotides) under Oncorhynchus tshawytscha (Chinook salmon). Its description in RNAcentral is "U5 spliceosomal RNA". It matches the Rfam family "U5 spliceosomal RNA". From Rfam's summary of the family: U5 RNA is a component of both types of known spliceosome. The precise function of this molecule is unknown, though it is known that the 5' loop is required for splice site selection and p220 binding, and that both the 3' stem-loop and the Sm site are important for Sm protein binding and cap methylation. Lineage: Eukaryota; Metazoa; Chordata; Actinopteri; Salmoniformes; Salmonidae. The record is from Rfam by way of RNAcentral.
AGACUCGUUCUCUUCAUUACGCACAAGCCUUUCGCCUUUUACUAAAUAAAGACUUCCGGGAGAGGAACACUACAGAGUUCAACGUAUUUGGAGCGGCUUUGCUUCUUGCAGAGCC